Molecule: ribosomal RNA, 207 nt
Filed under: uncultured bacterium
Lineage: Bacteria
Description: partial 16S ribosomal RNA
Rfam family: Bacterial small subunit ribosomal RNA
Source: RNAcentral
UACGAAGGGGGGCUAGCGUUGCUCGGAAUGACUGGGCGUAAAGGGCGCGUAGGCGGCUCAUACAGUCAGAUGUGAAAUUCCUGGGCUUAACCUGGGGGCUGCAUUUGAUACGUGUGGGCUUGAGUCGGGAAGAGGGUCGUGGAAUUCCCAGUGUAGACGGUGAAAUUGUGAUGAGAUUGGUAGGAAGAACCGCGGGUGGAGAAGGCC